AGUGAGCGCUGGCGGUAGGCCUAACACAUGCAAGUCGAACGGCAGCACAGUAAGAGCUUGCUCUUACGGGUGGCGAGUGGCGGACGGGUGCGGAAUACAUCGGAAUCUACUUUUUCGUGGGGGAUAACGUAGGGAAACUUACGCUAAUACCGCAUACGACCUACGGGUGAAAGCAGGGGAUCUUCGGACCUUGCGCGAUUGAAUGAGCCGAUGUCGGAUUAGCUAGUUGGCGGGGUAAAGGCCCACCAAGGCGACGAUCCGUAGCUGGUCUGAGAGGAUGAUCAGCCACACUGGAACUGAGACACUGUCCAGACUCCUACGGGAGGCAGCAGUGGGGAAUAUUGGACAAUGGGCGCAAGCCUGAUCCAGCCAUACCGCGUGGGUGAAGAAGGCCUUCGGGUUGUAAAGCCCUUUUGUUGGGAAAGAAAAGCAGCAGGUUAAUACCCCGCUGUUCUGACGGUACCCAAAGAAUAAGCACCGGCUAACUUCGUG
This 492-nucleotide ribosomal RNA is filed under the name uncultured bacterium. RNAcentral describes it as "partial 16S ribosomal RNA". It matches the Rfam family "Bacterial small subunit ribosomal RNA", at positions 29 to 507 of the family's 1533-position model. The record is from RNAcentral.